CGGCCGCGGUAUCCUGACCGUGCAAAGGUAGCAUAAUCACUUGUUCCCUAAUUAGGGACUAGAAUGAAUGGCCAAACGAGGAUUCAACUGUCUCUUAUUUUUUAUCAGUGAAAUUGACCUUUCAGUGAAGAGGCUGAAAUACUAAAAUAAGACGAGAAGACCCUAUGGAGCUUAAAUUAAAAGUUUAAUUUUACUAUUAUUAACCUAAUGGUUUAACACAAAAAUUUUAAACUCUAAAUUUCGGUUGGGGUGACCUCGGAGAACAAAAAAUCCUCCGAAUGAUUCUAACAUAGACCAACAAGUCAAAGUAACCCAAAGAUCUCAUUGACCCAAAAAUUUUUUGAUCAACGGACCAAGUUACCCUAGGGAUAACAGCGCAAUCCUAUUUUAGAGUCCAUAUCGACAAUAGGGUUUACGACCUCGAUGUUGGAUCAGGACAUCCCAAUGGCGC
This 451-nucleotide ribosomal RNA is filed under the name Melomys burtoni (grassland melomys). Its description in RNAcentral is "partial 16S ribosomal RNA". It matches the Rfam family "Bacterial large subunit ribosomal RNA", at positions 1928 to 2556 of the family's 2925-position model. The record is from RNAcentral. Lineage: Eukaryota; Metazoa; Chordata; Mammalia; Rodentia; Muridae.